RNAcentral lists this ribosomal RNA (460 nucleotides) under uncultured bacterium. RNAcentral's name for it is "partial 16S ribosomal RNA". It matches the Rfam family "Bacterial small subunit ribosomal RNA", at positions 338 to 795 of the family's 1533-position model. The record is from RNAcentral.
CCUACGGGUGGCAGCAGUGAGGAAUAUUGGUCAAUGGGCGCGAGCCUGAACCAGCCAAGUAGCGUGAAGGAAGACUGCCCUACGGGUUGUAAACUUCUUUUAUAAAGGAAUAAAGUGAGGCACGUGUGCCUAUUUGUAUGUACUUUAUGAAUAAGGAUCGGCUAACUCCGUGCCAGCAGCCGCGGUAAUACGGAGGAUCCGAGCGUUAUCCGGAUUUAUUGGGUUUAAAGGGAGCGUAGAUGGGUUGUUAAGUCAGUUGUGAAAGUUUGCGGCUCAACCGUAAAAUUGCAAUUGAUACUGGCAGCCUUGAGUGCAGUUGAGGUAGGCGGAAUGCGUGGUGUAGCGGUGAAAUGCUUAGAUAUCACGAAGAACUCCGAUUGCGAAGGCAGCUUACUAAACUGCCACUGACGUUGAUGCACGAAAGUGUGGGUAUCAAACAGGAUUAGAUACCCGAGUAGUC